RNAcentral lists this unclassified non-coding RNA (334 nucleotides) under soil metagenome. RNAcentral's name for it is "partial contains 5.8S ribosomal RNA, internal transcribed spacer 2, and large subunit ribosomal RNA". The stretch from base 1 to 120 matches the Rfam family "5.8S ribosomal RNA", at positions 35 to 154 of the family's 154-position model. The record is from RNAcentral.
GAUGAAGAACGUAGCGAAAUGCGAUAAGUAAUGUGAAUUGCAGAAUUCAGUGAAUCAUCGAAUCUUUGAACGCACAUUGCACCCGCCAGUAUUCUGGCGAGCAUGCCUGUUCGAGCGUCAUUUCAACCAUCAAGCCCCAGGCUUGUGUUGGAGCCCUGCGGCUGCCGCAGCCUCCCAAAACCAGUGGCGGGCUCGCUAUCACACCGAGUGCAGUAGUUUACUCUUCGCUCAGGGCGUGUGGCGGGUGCUAGCCGUGAAACCCCCAACUUCUCAAGGUUGACCUCGGAUCAGGUAGGAAUACCCGCUGAACUUAAGCAUAUCAAUAAGCGGAGGA